This 538-nucleotide ribosomal RNA is filed under the name uncultured Vibrio sp. RNAcentral describes it as "bacterial SSU rRNA". It matches the Rfam family "Bacterial small subunit ribosomal RNA", at positions 63 to 580 of the family's 1533-position model. The record is from RNAcentral. Lineage: Bacteria; Pseudomonadati; Pseudomonadota; Gammaproteobacteria; Vibrionales; Vibrionaceae.
CGAGCGGAAACGACACUAACAAUCCUUCGGGUGCGUUAAUGGGCGUCGAGCGGCGGACGGGUGAGUAAUGCCUAGGAAAUUGCCUUGAUGUGGGGGAUAACCAUUGGAAACGAUGGCUAAUACCGCAUAAUGCCUACGGGCCAAAGAGGGGGACCUUCGGGCCUCUCGCGUCAAGAUAUGCCUAGGUGGGAUUAGCUAGUUGGUGAGGUAAUGGCUCACCAAGGCGACGAUCCCUAGCUGGUCUGAGAGGAUGAUCAGCCACACUGGAACUGAGACACGGUCCAGACUCCUACGGGAGGCAGCAGUGGGGAAUAUUGCACAAUGGGCGAAAGCCUGAUGCAGCCAUGCCGCGUGUAUGAAGAAGGCCUUCGGGUUGUAAAGUACUUUCAGUUGUGAGGAAGGGGGUAGCGUUAAUAGCGUUAUCUCUUGACGUUAGCAACAGAAGAAGCACCGGCUAACUCCGUGCCAGCAGCCGCGGUAAUACGGAGGGUGCGAGCGUUAAUCGGAAUUACUGGGCGUAAAGCGCAUGCAGGUGGUU